GUUCUGCAUCCUAUCUGCAUUCUCUCCCCAUAAGGUUCUGCAUCGUAACUGCGUUCUCUCCCCAUAAAGUCUGGCAUCCAUUCUGCCCCCUCUGGGGGGUGCAGCUGUCACAGAAAGUCAUCCAAAGUCCUCUGGGCAGGCUGGUAGGUCUCCAUGGCAGUGCUGCGCUCUGGGUUAUUCCCAGUAAUGCUGCCUUCCUGUAACAUGUUCUCCAGCCAGACUGGAUCUAUUCUCCAUUCAAGUGAACCGGUGCAAUGCCCUCCUGAUGGUGGGACCCAGUGUAGACCCAGAACCAUUCCAGCUCGACCCUGUUCCUGUUUGUGUGCAUCUCUGCACAGUGGACACUAAUUGGGCUUCUUGAGAAAACCUGGACUGCAGCAAUAAAACUGUGAAGAGCUCAGCAGUCUGCCUGUGAACAAAGGAAGCGUGAUGCCCUCAGUGAGGAUCUUCAUAAAACAAUGUCUAGCCAUCAUAGUGUUUUUAAACAGGGAAGGGGUCGAGAGUUAAAUUCAUUUCACGCAAAAUCUACUCUUGGUGCUCUUGCCAUCAUUCAAGUCUCGCCAUUAAGUGACCCCCACAAGCGUGGAUGAGCAGGUAGUGACUCAUGCAGGGGAAGCCUGAUUUCCUCUGUAAAGUUUGUAGGAAAAUUCACUAAAGAGCAUGAGACGACAAAAAAAGCAUCAACGAUCUGGAACACUCACUCAUCAACACUAAGAUGAUUGCUGUUGAACAGUCUCGAUUAACGGCAAAGGUCAGCUGAGUGAUUUCACUGCUGGAACCCUGAGCAAGGCCCUUAACCCCCAAUUGCUUCAAAGACUGGCUGACCCAACCUUCUCAAUUGUACAUGGCUUUGGAUAAAAGUGUCUGAUAAAUAAAUAAAAUGUCGAUGUAAAAUGAGGCAUCCAGCGCACAUCAAUAAAAUCCAGAUAAUCUGGCCAGAUAA
Non-coding RNA from Paramormyrops kingsleyae, 943 nucleotides. Lineage: Eukaryota; Metazoa; Chordata; Actinopteri; Osteoglossiformes; Mormyridae. The record is from RefSeq and is a predicted model, not a curated record.